RNAcentral lists this ribosomal RNA (468 nucleotides) under uncultured bacterium. Its description in RNAcentral is "partial 16S ribosomal RNA". It matches the Rfam family "Bacterial small subunit ribosomal RNA", at positions 28 to 507 of the family's 1533-position model. The record is from RNAcentral.
GACGAACGCUGGCGGCGUGCUUAACACAUGCAAGUCGAACGGAAAGGCCCUGCUGUUGUGGGGUGCUCGAGUGGCGAACGGGUGAGUAACACGUGAGUAACCUGCCCUUGACUUUGGGAUAACUUCAGGAAACUGGGGCUAAUACCGGAUAGGCGCUCCUGCUGCAUGGUGGGGGUUGGAAAGUUUCGGCGGUUGGGGAUGGACUCGCGGCUUAUCAGCUUGUUGGUGGGGUAGUGGCUUACCAAGGCUUUGACGGGUAGCCGGCCUGAGAGGGUGACCGGCCACAUUGGGACGGAGAUACGGCCAAGACUCCUACGGGAGGCAGCAGUGGGGAAUAUUGAACAAUGGGCGGAAGCCUGAUGCAGCACCGCCGCGUGCGGGAUGACGGCCUUCGGGUUGUAACCCGCUUUCGCCUGUGACGAAGCGUGAUUGACGGUAAUGGGUAAAGAAGCACCGGCUAACUACGUG